AGGAGCAUUUACUCAGUGAGUGCAAGAGGUUUGUUUGAAACAGACCGCAAUGGAGAGAUCAGCGCCCAGGGAAGCGAGGGAACAGCAGGCUCCUUCCAGCAGCACAUCGGGAUGGGAGCCUGGGACACAGAGGGAGCUCCGAGACCGGGAUUGAUUCGGGGCAAGUAUUUGAUGGAUCAAUCCAAGAGUGACUAAUUGCUUCUCACACCCAGCAGACAAUUACUUGAAGGACCAAGACAGUGUAAUAUGUCCUCGGUACAAAGCCAAGUGUGAUUAGUUCCUUCUAACAAACAGCAGGGGAUGUCUCUUCUCUCUUCCUCCAGACAAUUAUAUGAAGGAGCAAGACAAUGUAACAUUAUCUCUGUACGAGGCCAAGUGUGAUCAGUUCCUUCUAACAAACAGCAGGGAAUUAGAAGACUAUUUGCAAUUAGAAGACUUAAAACCAGGCAUCGCUUCCCAAUCUGCCGAGUUUAUUGGCGCCUGAAUAUCAUUGGGUUUUGAAGUAAAAAAGCAUCGUUCACAAUGGGGGAGAAAUCGUAUGCGUGUUGUACAUGUGGACAAGUCUUUAGCAGAUCACUGCCCGUCACAGUGGGGAAAGGCCAUUCAUCUGUUCCAAGGAUUCACUCGAUCAUCCACCUUGCUGAAACCAGAGCAAAUUCACACCGAGAACAGACUUUUGAAAUGUUCAGAAUGUGGGAAAUGUUUUAAAAACUCUGGGGCACUAAUAUCCCAACAACAUCCUCACAGUGACGAGAGAUCCUUCAUGUGCUCUCACUGUGGGUUCAAGCUAUCAUGCAACCUCAUUAAACACCAGUGGAUCCACACUGGGGAGAGACCAUUCACCUGCUCACAUGAUGGGAAAGGAUUUUCUCAUAAAUCCAACCUGUUAAAACACCAGCGAUUUCUCAGAAGGUAGAGGCUGUUCUGCUGUACUGACUGUGGGAAGAGAUUCAUUGUGAAAUCCCAGCUGCUGAAACAUCAGUGUAUUCAUGAGAAAUGACAGUGCCUGGUUUUUACUGUGUACAUCUCCUUGCUUCAUAGUCUCAGCCAGAAGAUUUCAUUUCAAUUCCCACCUGAUAUGGAGCUAUGUCAAAAGAACUUAAUUAUUUUUGUAAUUGAUAACUGAAUGAUAUCCACUGGGGCAGGUUUCUACUGAAGUUGAUGAACUCCAGCUCAGUUAAAGGGAUGCCUGUUGUGGGUGACAGUGAAAUAAAUGCACUGUGUUAAACACACUGCAUAAAACCUAUUUCUAAUUUUUAAGUGCUCAUUGAAGUGAUCUCCCUCUGACUGUGUUAUGGAAGAAUCACUCAAUGUUUUGUAAAAAAUUACCAGGAGACACAGAAAAUCCUUCACGAAAUUAAACUUUAAUCUUGCAAAAUCAAAA
Molecule: long non-coding RNA, 1384 nt
Organism: Hemiscyllium ocellatum (epaulette shark)
Lineage: Eukaryota; Metazoa; Chordata; Chondrichthyes; Orectolobiformes; Hemiscylliidae
Exons: 5
Source: RefSeq, a predicted model, not a curated record